Pectinophora gossypiella (pink bollworm) is the source of this 134-nucleotide long non-coding RNA. RefSeq lists it as uncharacterized. The transcript is spliced from 2 exons. NCBI's taxonomy places the organism in Eukaryota, Metazoa, Arthropoda, Insecta, Lepidoptera, Gelechiidae. The record is from RefSeq and is a predicted model, not a curated record.
AGCCUAUAUACGUCCCACUGCUGGGCACAGGCCUCCCCUCAAUCAACCAGAGGGGGCAUACUUCACCACGCUGCUCCAAUGCGGGUUGGUGGAGGUGUUUUUACGGCUAAUAGCCGGGACCAACGGCUUAACGU